CAGUAGCCGGGUAAUACAGAGGGUGCGAGCGUUAAUCGGAUUUACUGGGCGUAAAGCGUGCGUAGGCGGCUUCUUAAGUCGGAUGUGAAAUCCCUGAGCUUAACUUAGGAAUUGCAUUCGAUACUGGGAAGCUAGAGUAUGGGAGAGGAUGGUAGAAUUCCAGGUGUAGCGGUGAAAUGCGUAGAGAUCUGGAGGAAUACCGAUGGCGAAGGCAGCCAUCUGGCCUAAUACUGACGCUGAGGUACGAAAGCAUGGGGAGCAAACAGGAUUAGAUACCCCCGUAGUCCCUGUCUCUUAUACC
This 301-nucleotide ribosomal RNA is filed under the name uncultured bacterium. RNAcentral describes it as "partial 16S ribosomal RNA". It matches the Rfam family "Bacterial small subunit ribosomal RNA", at positions 509 to 808 of the family's 1533-position model. The record is from RNAcentral.